RNAcentral lists this transfer RNA (92 nucleotides) under Cyanobium sp. RNAcentral describes it as "tRNA-Arg". The record is from RNAcentral. Lineage: Bacteria; Bacillati; Cyanobacteriota; Cyanophyceae; Synechococcales; Prochlorococcaceae.
GGGCUCCGUGGCGGGUGCGGCCGGCAGCGUGGCCGGCGCCGCCGCCAACACGGUGCUGCAGCCCCUGGUGUUCGAUCCGCUGCGGCGCCUGC